CGGUGAAUACGUUCCCGGACCUUGCACACACCGCCCGUCAAGCCACGGAAGCUGGGUGUACCUAAAGUCGGUAACCUCAAGGAGCCGCCUAGGGUAAAACUAGUGACUGGGGCU
Molecule: ribosomal RNA, 114 nt
Filed under: uncultured bacterium
Lineage: Bacteria
Description: partial 16S ribosomal RNA
Rfam family: Bacterial small subunit ribosomal RNA
Source: RNAcentral